This 57-nucleotide microRNA precursor is filed under the name Parasteatoda tepidariorum (common house spider). RNAcentral's name for it is "microRNA pte-mir-35h precursor". Its record names the gene pte-mir-35h. Lineage: Eukaryota; Metazoa; Arthropoda; Arachnida; Araneae; Theridiidae. The record is from miRBase by way of RNAcentral.
CAAAAUUUUUCGUUGCGGUGGUUUACAUUUGAUAAUCACCGGGUGAAAAAUUUGCUU